This 441-nucleotide ribosomal RNA is filed under the name uncultured bacterium. Its description in RNAcentral is "partial 16S ribosomal RNA". It matches the Rfam family "Bacterial small subunit ribosomal RNA", at positions 338 to 795 of the family's 1533-position model. The record is from RNAcentral.
CCUACGGGAGGCAGCAGUGGGGGAUAUUGCACAAUGGGGGGAACCCUGAUGCAGCGACGCCGCGUGGGUGAAGGAGUGCUUCGGCAUGUAAAGCCCUAUCAGCAGGGAAGAAACACGACGGUACCUGACUAAGAAGCGCCGGCUAACUACGUGCCAGCAGCCGCGGUAAUACGUAGGGGGCGAGCGUUAUCCGGAUUCACUGGGUGUAAAGGGAGCGUAGGCGGCCAGGCAAGCCAGGGGGGAAAGCCCGGGGCCCAACCCCGGGACUGCCCUUGAAACUGGGCGGCUAGAGUGCGGGAGGGGCAGGCGGAAUUCCUGGUGUAGCGGUGAAAUGCGUAGAUAUCAGGAGGAACACCGGUGGCGAAGGCGGCCUGCUGGACUGCGACUGACGUUGAGGCUCGAAAGCGUGGGGAGCGAACAGGAUUAGAUACCCCAGUAGUC